RNAcentral lists this ribosomal RNA (274 nucleotides) under uncultured bacterium. RNAcentral describes it as "partial 16S ribosomal RNA". It matches the Rfam family "Bacterial small subunit ribosomal RNA", at positions 523 to 796 of the family's 1533-position model. The record is from RNAcentral.
AUACAGAGGGUGCGAGCGUUAAUCGGAAUUACUGGGCGUAAAGCGCGCGUAGGCGGCUACUUAAGUCAGAUGUGAAAUCCCCGGGCUCAACCUGCGAACUGCAUCUGAUACUGGGUAGCUAGAGUUUUGGAGAGGGAAGUAGAAUUUCAGGUGUAGCGGUGAAAUGCAUAGAGAUCUGAAGGAAUACCAGUGGCGAAGGCGACUUCCUGGCCAAAAACUGACGCUGAGGUGCGAAAGCGUGGGUAGUAAACGGGAUUAGAAACCCUAGUAGUCC